CCUACGGGAGGCAGCAGUGGGGAAUUUUCCGCAAUGGGCGAAAGCCUGACGGAGCAACGCCGCGUGAUCGAAUGAAGGCCUUCGGGUUGUAAAGAUCUGUUGACAGGGACGAAUAAGCAAUGAGAAUAUUUUUGUGUAUGAAGGUAACUGUUUAGAAAGCUCCGGCUAACUACGUGCCAGCAGCCGCGGUAAUCCCUAGGGAGCAAGCGUUGUCCGGAAUUACUGGGCGUAAAGGGCGCGUAGGUGGGCCCUUAAGUAAGGUGUGAAAACUCCGGGCUCAACCUGGAGACUGCACUUGAAACUGGGUGUCUUGAGGGCAGAAGAGGAGAGUGGAAUUCCUGGGGUAGCGGUGGAAUGCGUAGAGAUUAGGAGGAACACCAGUGGCGAAGGCGACUUUCUGGACUGUACCUGACGCUGAGGCGCGAAAGCGUGGGUAGCGAACGGGAUUAGAUACCCCUGUAGUC
This 464-nucleotide ribosomal RNA is filed under the name uncultured bacterium. RNAcentral describes it as "partial 16S ribosomal RNA". It matches the Rfam family "Bacterial small subunit ribosomal RNA", at positions 338 to 795 of the family's 1533-position model. The record is from RNAcentral.